GAAAAUAACUGUUGGUUUAUCACUUUGCUUCUAAGAGUCGCGUUAUUUUGAUUUACUUGGUCUUCAUUUCACUCUUCACUUUAGUCUAUUUCAUUAUGUUUAAUUUAUCAUCUCAAAGUUUCUUUGCUAUUAACAAUCUUUUCAAGGUUCACCAUCAUUACUCAGAAGGAAACACAUCUCCACCCUGAAACAUGGAUUGAAGUUAAAAUACAACUAUCAUUUCAGUGUACAAUGAUUAAUCUGCUGGUUAUUUUCAUAUUUCUGCUGCAUCUAGCUGGCUGUUGCUCUGUCAAAUUGAUGAAUUAGAAAGAUGCUAAAUUUUUUAUUAACUGUUGGUGUUUUAGUCUCUUGGAUGUAAACCCAUUGGGAUAAAUGGUGCCUUUUGCCCUUUAACCUGGCUUUCAUUGGAGUAAAUGGAUGAUAUCUAAGCUGAAAAAAAUGAAUUUUCAUGUUCCAAUUGAAACAUCAAUCACAAAAAUUGAGCUUGAAAGUAAAUAGUUUCCCUGUCCCGAUGAUUUUACUAGGAAAGUACCUAACUCAGUGGAAGUCUCAAUCAAGUUAUCUAGUUUUUUUUCCUUUAACUACAAAGGCAACCAAAAAAUGGAGCCAAAUUAAUGAGUUAAUAGUCACUAAAUACAGGCUUUUCAGAAACAAAUCUGGAUCUCAAAACUCUAUUGGAAAAGGCAAUUAGAAACAAUUGACCAGAACUUCAAUUGAACUUCAAACAGCAUCAAUAACUUUCCGUUACAAAUGAACUUGUCGAUUAUAAAAUUCACAGGAAAUUUUUGACCAAAAUAAGCAUUAUGUUACUCUUGUCUUUGAAGUUGAAAAUCAGCUUUCAAAUUUAAAAGGUAAAUUAAUGAAAAUUGAAGAUUCAUUAGUUUGAAAAUAACAGAUCAACAGUUACAUCUUUAAUAAAUGAAAACAUUCAUCAGAGAAAUAGGUUUAUAUUAGGGUGUUCGAUAAUGUGUUGACCUCAGUAUGAAAAAUAAAUUAUUUUUUCGAACUAAA
Tetranychus urticae (two-spotted spider mite) is the source of this 1011-nucleotide long non-coding RNA. RefSeq lists it as uncharacterized. Lineage: Eukaryota; Metazoa; Arthropoda; Arachnida; Trombidiformes; Tetranychidae. The record is from RefSeq and is a predicted model, not a curated record.